This is a non-coding RNA of Lolium perenne, 799 nucleotides long. NCBI's taxonomy places the organism in Eukaryota, Viridiplantae, Streptophyta, Magnoliopsida, Poales, Poaceae. The record is from RefSeq and is a predicted model, not a curated record.
GCGGUUUAUUAGAAAACAGCAACAGAAAAGUGAUAUUCUAUUUCCUUACCAUUUUGGGUUCCACUGGAUUCUUAUGGUAAUUCAAGUUCAGACCUCCUCAGUUCUCGUCCACGACUCUCUGAAUAUGGAUCCGGCGCUUUGGGCCGACAUGAGAAAAAUGAUGCAAAAGGUUUGGAGACGGUUCGUAGAUACCAAGGUCGGUGAAUUCAAAAAAGAGCUACAUUUUAAAAUGGCAGUGCGGACGACUGGGGAUAUUCAGCCACCGGGGACCAAUCUAUGUGGAUACUAUGUUUGUGAGAGGAUCCGGAGAUACUGCAAUGAGCGGGACCAGACGUGUGAGAACAACAUCCUGAGGAAUAACCUCCGGAAGACGCUUAGUCCAGAAGCUCGCUUCCGACCACUUCAAGAGGAACUAGCUGGAUGGUUGGCGAGGGAAGUCAUCGAUCCUAGAGGAGAACACUAUUACGAUGACGUAGAACUUUAUAUGCACCAGAAUUUGUAACUAACUUGUUCAAAAUUGUAUAUGGUCAUCCGAUAUUGAAUAUAUAUUGUAUAUGGUCAUCCGAUAUUGAAUAUAUAUUGUAUAUUCCUCUUGAAUUCUUUUUGGUUCUAAUUUCAAAUUUGUUUGAAAUUGUACAUUCAUAUGCAUGUAUGUAUACAGUACCGUACAAUAUGUGAAACUCCUUCAAAAUUAAAACCCAAAAGAAAUAAAACAAUACAAAUUAAAAAGAAACCAGAUUUAGGGGGAGGGGGGCUAAACCCUAAACCCUGCGGAGGCCUUUAGUCGCGGUUGGCCAGA